UCUGCUAGAUAUGCACAUAAAAGAACGCCGCCAUCAUGAAAGAAAAGCGAGCCCUGAUGAGUGGGUGAAGGAUCUCCUGCUGAGGUAUGUGCAGCUGUUUCCACAGGUCUCCUGCCACCUCGAGAUCAACGUGGACAGGGCCAUUUAUGGGCAGGGCCGCUUCAGGUCGUUUACAUUCCUGGAGAUGUGGCAGUGGUACAGCCUGCACAAGACUCUCCAGGCUGACCCGCAAGCUGGGACCGACCACGAGAGGAAAAUGGCACAGGAGGCGCACUGCUCUGUGCAGCAGUGGCUGGUGAUGAAGGCGGAGGACAUCACCACCAAGUCACUGAAGCGCUUCAGGCAGUACAUUCUCGACAAAGAGAAACCUCCACAGGACAGGGACCCUCCCGCAGCAGCUGCCAGCUCCAGUUCAUCAGGGUCCAAAGGUGAUGGCGGCUGGGUGGAUGACGCUCUGCUGGUGGAAGCUCUCACCUCCUUUGAAAGACAAGCAGCUGGGGAAGCUGAGGGUAGAAAAAAGUAUCCAGACAAAGAGACCCAUCCAGAUCCUCCACAGAAGCCAGCCACAGACUAUGUUUCACCGUAUACUGCUCCUGCAUCAGCUCCUGCAGCAGCUCCUCCAUCAGCUCCUGCAGCAGCUCCUGCAUCAGCUCCUCCAUCAGUUUCUGCAGCAGCUCCUCCAUCAGUUUCUGCAGCAGCUCCUCCAUCAGCUCCUGCAGCAGCUCCUCCAUCAGCUCCUGCAUCAGCUCCUCCAUCAGUUUCUGCAGCAGCUCCUCCAUCAGCUCCAUCAGUCAGAAGGCCUUUCUCUACUGUUGUGGGUAUUCGAAAACUGUCAGGCAGAUCUGCCACAUGUCUGGCUGGUACUCCAUGCUGACAGAAGUCCUGGCAUGCAACGCUUGCAGAAAGGCUGCAAAGGAGUCAGAGGAACACUCCAUCGGUCGGUUCCUCUCAUGGGAUGCGUGCAUCCUUAACCAGCUCAGUCCAGCUCACAGAGCAGUGUUCCCAGCUGUCUUGACAUUACGGCGUGGCAUGGACAAGCAGGUUAUCCGCCUGAUGAGGGAUCGCACCGAGGGCAACACCAUGGCCAAGGUGUGGAGGCAGGUCCUGGAGAGUCACUGCGAGGAGUACCUGCAAAGAAAGGACUUGUACACCACCCUCCUCAGCCAGUACAAAAAACCUGGGAAGAUCACACGGAACAUUUGCCAACAAUUCCAGCUACCACCAGCGAGGAGAGAGCUGCCAUGUCCGAAGCUGUUGAGAAAGGCCUUUCUCAUUGCAGAGGCAGAAAACAUCGAGGACUACCGCACACAGAUUAUGUCUUCUUUUGGCAAAGUCCUAAAGUACGACUCCACCAAAAAGAUCUGCAAGAAACUUUCCGGGGAUGGAAAGGGCACGGCGGAAUGGUGCACCAACGUGGCCAACGAGCUGGGCCAGAUCCUCACGUCAGUCCUGACUUGUGAGGAGUCGCUGGACAAAAUGCGGCCGAUGGCUGAAGGCCUCAUGGAGAGGUACAGGAGAGCUGAC
Molecule: long non-coding RNA, 1524 nt
Organism: Cyprinus carpio carpio
Lineage: Eukaryota; Metazoa; Chordata; Actinopteri; Cypriniformes; Cyprinidae
Source: Ensembl